GACGAACGCUGGCGGCGUGCUUAACACAUGCAAGUCGAACGGAAAGGCCCUUCUUGCGGGGUACUCGCGUGGCGCGCGGGUGUAUAACGCGUGGGUGCUCUCCUCUGCUUCUCGGUAUCUGCCUGGAAAUCGGGGUAUAAUACAGGAUAGAUGCUAUCUUUAGUGUGGGGGUUGGAAAGUUUUUUCGGUGUUGGAUGAGCUCGCGGCCUAUCAGCUUGUUGGUGGGGUAAUGGCUUACCAAGGCUGUGACGGGUAGCCGGCCUGAGAGGGUGGACGGCCACAUUGGGACUGAGAUACGGCCCAGACUCCUACGGGAGGCAGCAGUGGGGAAUAUUGCACAAUGGGCGGAAGCCUGAUGCAGCAACGCCGCGUGGGGGAUGACGGCCUUCGGGUUGUAAACCGCUUUCAGCAGGGGCGAAGCUUGUGGUGACGGUACCUGGAGAAGAAGCACCGGCUAACUACGUG
This 465-nucleotide ribosomal RNA is filed under the name uncultured bacterium. Its description in RNAcentral is "partial 16S ribosomal RNA". It matches the Rfam family "Bacterial small subunit ribosomal RNA", at positions 28 to 507 of the family's 1533-position model. The record is from RNAcentral.